Molecule: small RNA, 483 nt
Filed under: Pongo abelii (Sumatran orangutan)
Lineage: Eukaryota; Metazoa; Chordata; Mammalia; Primates; Hominidae
Description: retained intron
Source: RNAcentral
GUGACUGCGGCCAGGGCAGGAGAGUGCGGAGGCCGGUGAGGAGGGUCCACAGCUAGCGGUGAGGCAGGAGUCAGGGUCAGCCUCGCCGUAUGGUGGCCACCACUGCUGUUAACCACAGUACACAGGGUGCUCGGUGCUGCUGUGGUCGGCCAACAAGGUGUUUGAGGAGCUGACGGACAUCGAGAGGCAGUUCCACAAGGCCUUCUACACGGUGCGGGCCUACCUCAACUGCGAGCGGUACUCCGUGGGCCUCCUGGAUAUGACCAAGGAGAAGGAAUUUUUUGACGUGUGGCCUGUGCUGAUGGGAGAGUCCCAGCCGUACUCGGGCCCACGCACGCCUGAUGGCCGGGUGAGUCUUAGGGGAGGGGCCCAGGGCCCGUCCACACGCCUCUGUUUCCCUGGCUCCAACUGCAGGGCAGGAGAGGGAGGAAUAGGGGUGGGGUUUAGGGAGGUGGGAACUGGCGGGUGGGCCCCCGGGUGCCU